RNA transcript from Ctenopharyngodon idella (grass carp), 2825 nucleotides. RefSeq lists it as uncharacterized. Lineage: Eukaryota; Metazoa; Chordata; Actinopteri; Cypriniformes; Xenocyprididae. The transcript is spliced from 5 exons. The record is from RefSeq and is a predicted model, not a curated record.
GUGAGCUUCAGAUGAGACAUCAACAGAAGGCAAUGUUCAUCAGGAUGUGGGUUUUCAUUGUGUUUUUCAUCAGUGUUAAAGAUUUCGUGAAUGGUAAUCAGGAUGAGGUAAAGACAGUGAUGGAGGGAGACGUUCUGACUCUACAUACAGGAGCUCAGCUGAAGAGAAACACUGAGACAAUGUGGUUUUUUAAAAGUGGCCGUCUUACCACCCGUAUAGCACAGAUAAAUAAUGGAAAACUUUUGACCCAUUUUGAAGAGAGACUUACUGGCAGAUUGGAUCUAGAUCAAGAGAGUGGGUCAUUGACCAUUUGGAAUAUCAGUACCAGUGAUUCUGGACUUUAUAAAGUAUCAUUCACCAUCAGGUUACUCGUCUCUGAGAAGAAGUUCAAAGUUAAUGUAUAUGCACCUGUCUCUGUACCUGCUAUUGAGAAGAACUCAUUGGAUACUGCGCACCAAUCUUCAGGUACUUUGAAGCAGCCACAAGCAGUAGAAGAUUUCUGCUCUGUGCUCUGCUCCGUGAGAAAUGAUCGAGACGUGUUCAUCUCGUGGUAUAAAGGGAGUGAAAUGGUGAAUCAGACCAGCAAUCCUGAUCUCAGCAUCAAACUCAGUUUACCAUUAGAGCUUCAUUAUAAUGAUUCAGAGAUCUACAGCUGCACGGCUGCAAAUCCAGUGAGCAACAAGAGCAUCAGUCUUAACAUGAAAGAGAUCUGCCAACGACAUGAAGAUUGUCUGGAUCAUUGUGGCUUCACUGAAGCUCUGAUUCGACUGGUUCUGUCUGGUCUGGUGGGAAUCGCCACUGUUUUCUUUGUGGUUGAUCAUGUGAGGAUCUCCUCAUCUCAGAGAAGAGCUGCUGCUUCUGUGUGAUGAUGAUACUUUCAUGUAAACUUUGACAUUGAAGGAGGUUUGCAGGGUAAAGAGGUGUAAAAAAUAAAGGUAUCGGCUAGAAUGAUAUGUAGUAGGCUAAGUGUGACCAGUAUGCUUUGCAAGUAGGUUACAUAAAAUGCACACAAACUUGUAUGUAUACUAACCUAAAUAUAUUUGUGUAUGUGUGAGUAGCUAUAUAUGGAGAGCAUAUGAUUCCUUAUGCUUUUGAAUCGCUCUUGCGGAAUCGCUCUUGUGGUAUGUCAUACGCCGAUCAGUCUGCGCAGCACAGAUGCAUCUCAAACAAGUGAGUAAACCUCACUCCCCUGAUCUCAAGAGAUGCUUUAGCGACCGCAGCCUUUAGCCUCCUUGUUAGAGCGUCCGACUCUCACGCCGGAGACCCGGGUUCGAGGCCUGCGCAAAGCGGGGUGAGUGGGACCUGGAUAGAGUGGUUGCAUGUAGCAGAUGUUUGCUGUGGUACAGUACUGCAAUAACUGAACUGUACUGAUCAUAAUUUACAUCUGCCCAGAGAAUUUCAUCUACAUCACAGAAUAUUCUUAUCAUGCAUUAUGGAGGGAAAAUCAUUAUGAAUGUUGAAUCCAUGGUUCUUGGUUCAAUUAGCAUCUAGCUUAAACAGAGAAAACAAAACGGCUACUACAUGAACUCCAUUUGUUUUGUGAAAGAAAUGCCUAAUGUGUCAACACCGUCAGUGUCAACACCAUAAGAUUUUCUGUCUGACGGAGUUGACAUUCACCAUGAAGUCAUCAUAUUUUUGUGGUUUUCAAGUCAUUUUUAAUUAUAUUAAAUAUAAAAUAAUGUUUCGUUUUUCUAAUAUUGUAUAAAUACUAAAUAUGUGACCUGACAGUAUAUAUUGCUUUUGUGGAUUGAUAUCACUUCUAGCAGAGUUAGUGUUGAGGGACCAUAAGGCUUGAGGAUUAGUUCAUUUUCAAAUGAAAAUUACCCCAAGCUUUACUCACCCUCAAUCAGUCCUAGGUGUAUAUGACUUUCUUCUUUCUGAUGAACACAAUCAGAGUUAUAUUAAUAAUUAGCUUUAUAUAAUAGCUUUAUAAUUGCAGUGCAUGGAAACCACCUGUUUGAAACUAAAAAAAAAGGUGUAUCCAUCCAUCAUAAACGAGAAAAGAAAAAUAUAACACAUUAUAAAGUAAAAUAUCUUGCUUCCGCCUUCUGUAUUCAACUUAGGAAGAAAGUGUAAAACUCUCGCAGUUCAAAACGCUUCUUCCUAAGUUGAAUACAGAAGGCGGUCUGGCGGAAGCAAGAUAUUUUACUUUGCAACUUGUUAAAUAUAGAUAUUUUCAGAAAGUGAAAGAGCUCUGUUUUCAUCUACUCUCAUCUACUUCCAGUUGUUUGGUAACUUCCAUCCACCCUUCUUCUUGACCCCUUUCCCCGCUUCUGACUGUCUUGGUGAUAGUAUAGUAACAGUUUAUCGAGAGAGAAGGCUCGACUGAGAAGUAUCAACUGAAAAUAAAUGCUUCCCCCUUGUGGACACUAACAUAAUAGACAACUCAGAGAGUGAUUGUAAACUAAGAGUACAUGAAAUAUGCUUGUAAUUUCAUUCUGCAUCUUACUGCGAUUUCAUUGUAAUCUUUCUCAAAGAUUACAAUGAAAGAAAAAGAAAAAAAGACACUGAAUUCACCAUUACCUAUUCACCUAUGUAUAUCGUUGUAAUCCUUGACCAUCAAAACAUAUGGGUAGACACCUUUCUGUGUUAUCAUGUUUGAUUUAGGAGAUGAGAUACAAAAUAUGUAAAUUGGUUAUGGCAGAAAUUGUGUACCAAGUUUCAUGAAAAAGUGAACAUAUCACCUCAAUUUUUGUAAAUAUCACCUGGAAUAUUGAUCAUUUCAUUUCCUAUUUCGAAUGGAAUAACGAGAAAUGAAAAAGACGAUAAUAUAUUCAUGAAAUCAAACAUAAGACAACAUUUCAAAAUAAAUUGCAAUGAAAAUG